UUUCUGCCNCCGAAUACAUUAGCAUGGGAUAAUGGAAUAGGACCCUGUCCUCCUAUUUUCAGUUGGUUUUGGCAGCGCGAGGACUAGGGUAAUGAUUAAUAGGGAUAGUUGGGGGCAUUAAUAUUUAAUUGUCAGAGGUGAAAUUCUUGGAUUUAUGAAAGAUUAACUUCUGCGAAAGCAUCUGCCAAGGAUGUUUUCAUUAAUCAAGAACGAAAGUUAGGGGAUCGAAGACGAUCAGAUACCGUCGUAGUCUUAACCAUAAACGAUGCCGACCAGCGAUUAGGAGACGUUGAAUACAAAACACCACCAUCGGCGCGGUCGUCCUUGGCGUUCGUGUUCACGCACGAGCGCGAGGGCGGNUUAGCCCGNUGGCACCGGUGAAUGACUCCCCUAGCAGNUUUGUGAGAA
RNAcentral lists this ribosomal RNA (408 nucleotides) under Acanthamoeba polyphaga. RNAcentral's name for it is "SSU rRNA". It matches the Rfam family "Eukaryotic small subunit ribosomal RNA", at positions 786 to 1098 of the family's 1831-position model. Lineage: Eukaryota; Discosea; Longamoebia; Acanthamoebidae. The record is from RNAcentral.